GCGUGCUUAACACAUGCAAGUCGAACGGUAAGGCCCCUUCGGGGGUACACGAGUGGCGAACGGGUGAGUAACACGUGAGCAACCUGCCCUUGACACUGGGAUAAGCGAUUGAAAAGUCGUCUAAUACCGGAUAUGACUCUCACAGGCAUCUGUGAGGGUGGAAAUGCUCCGGCGGUCAAGGAUGGGCUCGCGGCCUAUCAGCUUGUUGGUGAGGUAACGGCUCACCAAGGCUUCGACGGGUAGCCGGCCUGAGAGGGCGACCGGCCACACUGGGACUGAGAUACGGCCCAGACUCCUACGGGAGGCAGCAGUGGGGAAUAUUGCGCAAUGGGCGAAAGCCUGACGCAGCAACGCCGCGUGCGGGAUGACGGCCUUCGGGUUGUAAACCGCUUUCAGCAGGGACGAAGGGUUUCUGACGGUACCUGCAGAAGAAGCACCGGCCAACUACGUGCCAGCAGCCGCGGUGAUACGUAGGGUGCGAGCGUUGUCCGGAAUUAUUGGGCGUAAAGAGCUUGUAGGCGGUUUGUCACGUCGGAAGUGAAAACUCAGGGCUUAACCCUGAGCCUGCUUCCNAUACGGGCAGACUAGAGGAAGGNNGGGGAGAAUGNAACUCCUGGUGGAGCGGUGGAAUGC
RNAcentral lists this ribosomal RNA (633 nucleotides) under uncultured Propionibacteriaceae bacterium. RNAcentral describes it as "bacterial SSU rRNA". It matches the Rfam family "Bacterial small subunit ribosomal RNA", at positions 42 to 689 of the family's 1533-position model. The record is from RNAcentral. Lineage: Bacteria; Bacillati; Actinomycetota; Actinomycetes; Propionibacteriales; Propionibacteriaceae.